Molecule: long non-coding RNA, 2406 nt
Filed under: Citrus sinensis (sweet orange)
Lineage: Eukaryota; Viridiplantae; Streptophyta; Magnoliopsida; Sapindales; Rutaceae
Description: long non-coding RNA (CSIN_LNC002900)
Source: RNAcentral
UCAUGUUGCAUCUUGCAUCUUUUUGAAUCACUAAUUAACUCUGGCAAUAUAUACUUCCUUGUUAUUCAAGAAAUGAAGAUAUUGAAGGGAUUGGUUAAGAUUUUACACAAAAACUUCUUCAGCUAUACAAAUAUUUACCCUGUUUCACACAGUAGCUGUAUCAAUUUACUCCAGGGAUUGCAAAUUGUUUUAAUUAUAAAGGGUUUAUGGUACAAUAAAUUAUAUACACAAUCCGUCAGUAAAAGUAUCAAAUCAUGAGGCAAAAAAAUUUAUCCCAUAUCCCCAUAUUACAACACAACAUAAUAGGGUUAUUAGACUUUGUGGAAGUAAAAUCCUCUUUUAACUUCCAAACGAAGCCUUAAUCGAGCAGCUAAAUCAACCUCACUUUAUGAGCCGUAGAGAAAUGCUUUCCAGCAGCAACCAUGGUCGCCUCCGGGCCAUCUUUCAAGGUCUUUUCACUUUCACUUUUGCCCGUUUUGAAAAUACCGAAGCACGAAGCCAAUGAUGUGAAGAAGAACGAUGAGCCCCCGCUCUCUUUUCUGGUCUUACUCAUCUCGCUUUUAUGUGAAUACGAUCGAUCACUCUUUAUUAACAGAAACGAUAAUUUUAAAAAGAAUAUGCGCGCGCUCUCUCUCUGUAAAUGGAACUCAAAGGUACCCUACAUUUGCCCACCUCCUUGAGAAAUCAACUUAUAUAACACAAAUUUCCUUUGGGAACAAGUUAAACCGUGUCUCCAUUGACCAUGACUUACUUCUGUGGUACGGCGUCUGAAACAGUUAAACUCAUCGGUGAUGAAAAUUCUACGAGCUAUCAUUUUCAUAUCAUUAGUCAUUUGACUCGAGAAGAGUUCAAACCACGUGAUCAAUUCGUAAAUUUCUCCUGAAUUUGCAGUUCAAUGAAAUAUUGUCGUAUUGGAGGAGAAAAGAGGAAGAGAGAUGAAGAGGGUAGUUUAAAACAUAAAUGUUAUAUAUAUAUGACUUGAUCACUUGGUAGCUUAUAAUAUCAAAGUGUUUAUUUUCUCUAUAAUUAAAUGCUGAAUGCCAGUUUAGCAUUAUGACUUGAUAUGAGGCUGCAGAAUAAAGUGUCAAGUCCUUUUUCAAGUUUGAUCAUCAUUUAUGCUGUUAUUGAUGGAGGUUCCAAUCUUAACAAAAUAGAUGUCAAGAACAUAUGAAUUUUUAGAAAGAGUUUUAGGGUCAGUUUGGUAGUAUUGCAGGUUUUUAAAUAAUUAUUGUAGGUUGUGUUAUAUAAAUAAUUCAAGGUAAAGAGAAUCGGUUAAAUAUGUGAUAAAGCCUGUUUCUAAAAGUGUUGUGUGUUUUAAAAAUAAUCUUAUAUUUUUAAUAAAUCUUACUGUAAAAAUAUAAAUAAUUAAAUUGGACAUAAUGUUAAAAUUUAUUUAUACAUCAAUGGACAUGAUAUAAAGUUUUUUUUUUUUUACAGUGUAUAUGUAAUAAAUGAUAAUUGAAAUAAAUAUUUGUAUUAUUAGUGUUAGAUUUUAGAAUAAUACAUGAGAAUAUAUACGAGUUUGUAUUAAGUAUAAAAUUGGUUUCAAAAUUGGAUUUGAAAAGAUAAUCAUUUCUUUUUUAAAAAAAAUUUAUUGUAGAAUCAGAUGAUUUUGCUAAAAGUGAUUUUUCAAAAAAUUUACCAAACACAAAAAUUAAUUUUAGCUUUUCAAAAUCAAUUUUGAAUCGAUAAAAAACAAUCUCAAACGAAACCUUAGUCAUGUUGCAUCUUGCAUCUUUUUGAAUCACUAAUUAACUCUGGCAAUAUAUACUUCCUUGUUAUUCAAGAAAUGAAGAUAUUGAAGGGAUUGGUUAAGAUUUUACACAAAAACUUCUUCAGCUAUACAAAUAUUUACCCUGUUUCACACAGUAGCUGUAUCAAUUUACUCCAGGGAUUGCAAAUUGUUUUAAUUAUAAAGGGUUUAUGGUACAAUAAAUUAUAUACACAAUCCGUCAGUAAAAGUAUCAAAUCAUGAGGCAAAAAAAUUUAUCCCAUAUCCCCAUAUUACAACACAACAUAAUAGGGUUAUUAGACUUUGUGGAAGUAAAAUCCUCUUUUAACUUCCAAACGAAGCCUUAAUCGAGCAGCUAAAUCAACCUCACUUUAUGAGCCGUAGAGAAAUGCUUUCCAGCAGCAACCAUGGUCGCCUCCGGGCCAUCUUUCAAGGUCUUUUCACUUUCACUUUUGCCCGUUUUGAAAAUACCGAAGCACGAAGCCAAUGAUGUGAAGAAGAACGAUGAGCCCCCGCUCUCUUUUCUGGUCUUACUCAUCUCGCUUUUAUGUGAAUACGAUCGAUCACUCUUUAUUAACAGAAACGAUAAUUUUAAAAAGAAUAUGCGCGCGCUCUCUCUCUGUAAAUGGAACUCAAAGGUACCCUACAUUUGCCCACCUCCUUGAGAAAUCAAC